GACGAACGCUGGCGGCGUGCUUAACACAUGCAAGUCGAGCGGUAAGGCCCUUUCGGGGGUACACGAGCGGCGAACGGGUGAGUAACACGUGGGUGACCUGCCCUCAGCUCUGGGAUAAGCCUGGGAAACCGGGUCUAAUACCGGAUAUGACUCCAUGACGCAUGUUGUGGGGUGGAAAGCCUUGUGCGGCUGAGGAUGGGCCCGCGGCCUAUCAGCUUGUUGGUGGGGUGANGGCCUACCGAAGGCGACGACGGGUAGCCGGCCUGAGAGGGCGACCGGCCACACUGGGACUGAGACACGGCCCAGACUCCUACGGGAGGCAGCAGUGGGGAAUCUUGCGCAAGUGGGGACGUAAAGCCCUGACGCAGCGACGCCGCGUGAGGGAUGACGGCCUGG
This 396-nucleotide ribosomal RNA is filed under the name uncultured bacterium. Its description in RNAcentral is "bacterial SSU rRNA". It matches the Rfam family "Bacterial small subunit ribosomal RNA", at positions 28 to 419 of the family's 1533-position model. The record is from RNAcentral.